RNAcentral lists this ribosomal RNA (301 nucleotides) under uncultured bacterium. RNAcentral's name for it is "partial 16S ribosomal RNA". It matches the Rfam family "Bacterial small subunit ribosomal RNA", at positions 509 to 809 of the family's 1533-position model. The record is from RNAcentral.
CAGUAGCCACGGGAAUACGGAGGAUCCAAGCGUUAUCCGGAAUCAUUGGGUUUAAAGGGUCCGUAGGCGGUCUUGUAAGUCAGUGGUGAAAGCCCAUCGCUCAACGGUGGAACGGCCAUUGAUACUGCAGGACUUGAAUUAUUGGGAAGUAACUAGAAUAUGUAGUGUAGCGGUGAAAUGCUUAGAGAUUACAUGGAAUACCAAUUGCGAAGGCAGGUUACUACCAAUUGAUUGACGCUGAUGGACGAAAGCGUGGGUAGCGAACAGGAUUAGAUACCCCUGUAGUCCCUGUCUCUUAUAA